Molecule: ribosomal RNA, 441 nt
Filed under: uncultured bacterium
Lineage: Bacteria
Description: partial 16S ribosomal RNA
Rfam family: Bacterial small subunit ribosomal RNA
Source: RNAcentral
CCUACGGGAGGCAGCAGUAGGGACUUUUGCGCCAUGGGCGAAAGCCUGACGCAGCAACGCCGCGUGAUUGAUUAAGCCCUUCGGGGUGUAAAGAUCUGUCAGUGGGGACGAAACUUGACGGUACCCACAGAGGCAGCACCGGCUAACUCCGUGCCAGCAGCCGCGGUAAUACGGAGGUUGCAAGCGUUGUCCGGAAUCAGUGGGCGUAAAGGGUCCGUAGGUGGCAUAUUAAGUCUGGUGUUAACUGCAGAAGCUCAACUUCUGUUCGGCACUGGUUACUGGUAAGCUGGAAUGCGGUAGAGGUAAAGGGAAUUCCUGGUGUAGCGGUGAAAGGCGGAGAUAUCAGGAGGAACAUCGGUGGCGUAAGCGCUUUACUGGGCCGUAAUUGACACUGAGGAACGAAAGCCGGGGUAGCAAAUGGGAUUAGAUACCCUGGUAGUC